GACGAACGCUGGCGGCGUGCUUAACACAUGCAAGUCGAACGGUGAACCGCUUUCGGGUGGGGAUCAGUGGCGAACGGGUGAGUAACACGUGAGUAACCUGCCCUUCACUCUGGGAUAACUCCGGGAAACCGGGGCUAAUACUGGAUACGACCUACUCGGGCAUCCGAUGUGGGUGGAAAGAUUUAUCGGUGAGGGAUGGACUCGCGGCCUAUCAGCUUGUUGGUGAGGUAAUGGCUCACCAAGGCGACGACGGGUAGCCGGCCUGAGAGGGCGAUCGGCCACACUGGGACUGAGACACGGCCCAGACUCCUACGGGAGGCAGCAGUGGGGAAUAUUGCACAAUGGGCGAAAGCCUGAUGCAGCGACGCCGCGUGAGGGAUGAAGGCCUUCGGGUUGUAAACCUCUUUCAGCAGGGAAGAAGCGAAAGUGACGGUACCUGCAGAAGAAGCACCGGCUAACUACGUGCCAGCAGCCGCGGUAAUACGUAGGGUGCAAGCGUUGUCCGGAAUUA
Molecule: ribosomal RNA, 511 nt
Filed under: uncultured bacterium
Lineage: Bacteria
Description: bacterial SSU rRNA
Rfam family: Bacterial small subunit ribosomal RNA
Source: RNAcentral